GUAAUCUAUCUGAUAAUAAGGUGUGCUAAAACUUCUCUCUGAGACACACUGCAGGUGCCCUCAGAUCUACUUCUUUAUGUGCUGGACAAACCCCACUGUUAGUAUACUGCACCGUCAUGGUGAAGAAGCGCAUGGAGCUGCUUUAGACCCAAGUUGGAUACAGCACCAGCUGCCACGUAACAUCACAACGUCUUCACCACGAGUACAAGCAUAAACCACACUAACCACACUCUUUUUCCACAUACAGCUAUUACUGGUGUUCAGGUAGUACAGACAAAUGUAGGGCAGGAAGGUGCGCAGUGCAGAGUUGCGGGCUCUGCUGAGCAACUCACAAGUUUGUGAGGUGUUCGCUGAGAGAUUCGGGGUCUAGAGUUACUGAGUAUCAUCUGUUCUCGCUGGGAAGUACUGCACAGUCUGAUCAUUUUGGUAUCUGAGGAUAAGAGGUACAAGCUACUGGACGAAAGAAGUUCAGGAAGUAGGUACAAUGAGCAGAAAAUAUGGAUUUUAGACUACGCAAGUGCCAGAACUGGGAAAAGUCAUUGCAGAGCCAGCAUACAGUGUACCACUGCCACCCUACCCCUCAACUAAAAUCUGUCCAAAAUUUAUCAGCAGUUUGGGGUAUCUCUGCUUUCAAGGCUCUACAGUGGGAGCAUUUUCAGGUUUUAAUAACUUUAGCUACACUACUGGGUGCUCGCUUCUAUUAAAAGAGUGUCCUGCUACAUCUUACCUCUAUGAGCCACAAAGUAAUACCCACGGGUCUUUGAUAGGCAAGGAGAAAUCGGUUGCCUUAGAACACCAGAGAGCUGGCUGUUGGGUUAAACAAAUCCCGUGUGCAUGUAGGAUCCUGCUGAACCUGAUGCUGGGAUCUCCAGUGAUAUAUCACACCUACAUACACACAGUUCUUGGUCAGAACUGAAACAUCUACUCUAAAGCAUCUUGAUCUGGAUCUUUCCAGGUCAACCUGCCACUGCUAAAUGGCCACACAGCACAACGGCUUUCUAGAGUGGAAAAGGAGAGAGCAAGGACAGAAGACAUUCAUCCCUGGUUACAGGAAAAAGCCAUCACACAACAUAAAAGUAUCGUUCAUUACCAGUGAAACUGUCUUUUAUUUUAAGCCCUUCCUUAAUCUUGAAGAGCAGGUUUUACCAUGCACUCUUCUUUCCCUCAUCACACACCCUCAUGGUCCUAGGCCCAGCAAAUCAAUAGCAGUGAUUGUCCUUUGAACAUCUUGAGACUACCCAGACUACAGAGUUGCCUUUAGCUAGUAUUUCACUACAGCAUAUAAUUUGGCCUUGUUUCUAACCCAGCCCCCCAGCCUGUUAACCCUUGCACUCUCCUCUUGGUUCUGGCUCUAUUCAAGGCCUGAAUGGCUCCCUUGUGUGGAGUCAGUGUUUCUGCUGUGUCUCCCCUUUAAGCGGACAGGCAUAGAGCACUCCGAUUGUGCUGCUCCCCCGGCUUUAGCCCUCCUCCAGGCGUAACGGUCAGCUAAUCAGCGUUUUUGUCCCGGUAAAUCACCCCCAGGGUGGAGGGCUAACGACUCUCCUGUAGGUUUGCAAAGAGAGCGGGUGGAGGGGUAACCGACUGCAGGGCUGGUAACAUGGGAAACGUGCCUUCACGUACUGUACGCACAGAGCAUUGCGUCUUCCAGUGAAGAGUGGCUAAGGAGGGGGAAUGAAGGAAACGGACUGGAAAUUACACGCUUCCAAAACCCCUGUAAGGAAGCUAAAGCCCCUUAGGAACUGUACAGCACUGGGCUCUGAGAUCGGGGUGCAGCAGGAGGAGCGGGCAGAGCGCUUUCCUCCUCAGAACUCAUCGUCCUGGACCCUCUGCUGGAGCAGUGGCAGGGCGCCGCGGGUACAGACUCCUGGGGCACUGCUUCCUACUCGGAAGCACGCUGCAACCUCGCCUCAGUUUUGAAAGAGACCCUUUUUUCUGCCCUGAGCGGAAGCAAACCCCUGCUCGGCACGUUUCGUGGCUGCACAAGCUGCCGCAGCAGGCAUAGCCGAUAGACGGCGCGGGCCUGGGCGGUGGGACUCUGGGGCACAUCCGGCUGCACUCACCUCCGCGUCCUGCUCCCGCAGCAAAUACACCCCCCCCCCCCCCUCCGUCUCUCAUCUGUAAAGCAGAGCCGUGAUGUGGCCAGGGAGAAUAAAGUUGAUCUUCACAAACUGCUGGGAUACCCUUGGAUGAAGAGCUCUGUUUUAAACGGAUAAAAACGUAAUUAAUAAGAAGUGCCAUUAACAUCACAGAUAACACGCUCUUAUUUUUGGGGUGGGAUGUAGCGAGUUACCAAAUGCAACUAACUGCAGUGCUCCACUUCCAGCUGUGUCCUGUGCUGCAAGCAGUUACAUGCUGUAGUGUAAGGCUUCCUCUGGGAUGAAAAUGUCUUCUUGUAGGAGAAGCACAAGAAAUGCUGGGCAGAAGGAGAGUGGUGGUGUUCUGUUUGGAGGCUGACUGCUUGGAGAACAGAAUGGGGGGAUAAAAUUUAGGAAAACCAGCAUACCAGUGUUUGUGAGGGAGGCAAACAGAAGGAUCGAUCACAGGGGAGUUACACCCCAGGUUCUCCCUCCCAGGGAGGACUGGAAAAAGCAGUGUUGUAGGGGACCCAGAGUACCCACUUUUGUGAUGUAAUUGAAUUGGCUUCUGGUGGACAGGAUGAGCACAAGACAAGGGGCAGGCACAGGGGUGGCAGCCUGUCUUGGCAGCAGCGAGCUGCUCUAGUGCAGCUCUAUCAUCCAUAUUGCCCAACUGCACCCCCAAGGUGCAAGUGGAACCUUUGAAUCUAAUAUAAAUUUAACGUUUGUGUUGUCUUAUGCCACCUCUGUUUGCUGAGGAGAAACUUGUGAGAAUUGCUCUUCAAGGAUCAAGUUAGCAGAAUAAAGGUGGGAGUAACGAGAGAUUUACUUGUAUCAUUACUUCAGAGCUUUGUUCCUUUCAGCUUUGCAGAGCUGGGAGCAGCAGCUUUCUGCCAGUUGGAAGGGAUGAUUCCCAGCUUUCUCAUGGGAAGUGUCAAAUGUUGUAACAUGCUGCCUGUAAAAGAUGUGACUUUAAUACAUUAAAGAAGUCUAUUUAUGGUUAUUUUAGAGGAGCUUGCAUUCCUAUGCUCUGUAAAGUUGGAACUAAGGCACCUGAUACGGAUAAUUUGUUCCAAUGCAGUCUAAAAAUGUUCUAUUAUUAAAAUAAUCUGGUUUCUGAAAUACAUUAAUAGUUGUCCUGCUUUUGACUGGGACAGAGUUAAUUUUCUUCCUACUAGCUGGUACAGUGCUGUAUUUUGGGUUUAGUAUGAGAAUAAUGUUGAUAACACACCGAUGGUCUCAGGAGUUGUUAAGUAAUGUUUGCACAGUCCUUACUCUUUCAGCUUUGCAUGCCCUGCCAGGAGAAGGCUGGAGGGGCACAAGAAGCUGGGAAGGGACACAGCCAGGACAGCUGACCCCAGCUGGCCACAGGGAUAUUCCAUACCGUACAAUGUCAUGCUCAGUGUUA
This is a long non-coding RNA of Strigops habroptila (Kakapo), 3483 nucleotides long. RefSeq lists it as uncharacterized. The record is from RefSeq and is a predicted model, not a curated record. The transcript has 2 exons. NCBI's taxonomy places the organism in Eukaryota, Metazoa, Chordata, Aves, Psittaciformes, Psittacidae.